CUCAUACUCAGCCUGGGCUAUGGCUACCACCCCAAUAAGACCAGCUAUGACGCCAAAGCUCACCUUCCGCCAGGGGCUACUGCAGAUGGGCUGUCCACGUGGAUCCUGAACCCAGAGGACCUGCAUUUUGGAGAAGGUGGGGCCACGGACCACCCACUCCCAGACACACUGCCUCUGCAACCACCUCACCUUCUUUGGAAGCACGUUCCUGGUGAUGCCCAACACCAUCGACAUCUGCCAGACUGCCGAGCUCUUUGCCACCUUCGAGGACAACCCUGUGGUUGUGACCACCGUGGGCUGCCUCUGUGUGGCCUAUGUGCUGGUGGUGAUCUGGGCAAGGAGGAAGGACGCUCAGGAUCAGGCCAAGGUGAAAGUCACAGUACUGGAGGACAAUGAUCCCUUUGCCCAGUACCACUACCUGGUGACAGUCUACACUGGACACCGGAGAGGAGCAGCUACUUCCUCCAAGGUGACUGUCACUCUAUAUGGCUUGGAUGGAGAGAGUGAACCCCACCACCUGUCAGACCCUGACAUUCCAGUUUUUGAGCGGGGAGGAGUGGAUGUCUUUUUACUCUCCACCCUGUUCCCCCUGGAGGAACUGAGGGGCCUGCGGCUGUGGCAUGACAACUCAGGGGACCGGCCAUCCUGGGCUGUCCUCCUGGAAAUGAGAAAAUGCACGUCUGGAGCUUCCGAGCAUAGUCUUCAUUACACAGUAAAUGCUCAGUAAAGAAGGGCUCUUGAUAUCAUCGCUAUUCUUGUUGGCCAUAAGGCAACAGGAGAAAUGGCUGCUCCGACAUCCCAACAGAGCCCAAGAUUGCUCCGAAGAGACCAGCCUUCUCCCAUCCCUGCGCCUCUCUUCCUGCCUGCUCACAGCCACCUGUUUUUCAUGAAGACCUCCACGGGCCUCCACGAUGGACACAUGUGGU
Molecule: RNA transcript, 926 nt
Organism: Mirounga angustirostris (Northern elephant seal)
Lineage: Eukaryota; Metazoa; Chordata; Mammalia; Carnivora; Phocidae
Gene name: polycystin-1-like protein 2
Exons: 7
Source: RefSeq, a predicted model, not a curated record